AUGAGCGCCAUAAAAUAUGGCGUAGAGCAACACAUUUGAAUCAAAGCAGUCGCAAACAAUUUAGUGUUAACAUUAGAAUUAACCGAUGGUUUGUUAUUGAACACCAACUUGGAAAAUACUUUGUCCAUCCUGAUAUAUGUUCGAGGAAUCUACCUUGCCUUGACUGCUGAUGUUAUUGAUGAAGUCCAAGGCCAGUAACGGAAGCUGGAAUGCCAUGUGUGCAGCCUCCAGAUAUUUUGCAUCUCCCAACAGCUAUCAGCUUCUGCAGAUUUCCCAGAUCCCACAACGGUCAUGGCAGUUGUGCCAGGGAGGUGUUUUGUGGACCACCAGUAUUCAUUUUAAACGGUUAUGAUUUUAUAAAACCUUUUUUCUACUUAAGGUUCUGUAAUAAUUCUGCAUUUUGUGACAGUGUUUACUUUGAAAAUGUUAUGUUUGAAUGUUAAUUAAAGCCCUGGAUAGAGAUUGCAGAUGAUUAAAAUCAAAUGAUGCAGCAGCUCUCAUUUAGAUAUGUGGUUUGCUGCAGAAAUGCUAAUUUAUUAGAUUGAAUUACCCUUUAUUCUGGUAAUAUAAACCUAGCCAUUCAUAUGGUUCUUCUUACUUUCUUUCUUCAACUUCUUACGUUUAUAAAUGAUUUUACAUAUAUGAACCAUGUUUCUAGUGAUUUUUUUACAAACAGUGAACAUGGUAACAUAUCUCCCACAAAAUUAUACAAUGUUAUUAUUUAAGCUAAACGGUCCAUAAUGCUAUUAUUCGUUUAUAAAUAAUGGCAAAACGUUUCCUAAAAAUGUUUAAUGUUGUUAAAUAUACUGUAGGGAUUCAAUGAGUAUUAAUUUGUUAUGGUUUUAUUAUUUUGAUUUGUAUAAAGCCUCUUGAAAUAAAGAUUUUUUCCACUUUA
Molecule: long non-coding RNA, 895 nt
Organism: Eleginops maclovinus (Patagonian blennie)
Lineage: Eukaryota; Metazoa; Chordata; Actinopteri; Perciformes; Eleginopidae
Exons: 3
Source: RefSeq, a predicted model, not a curated record